AACACUGUUAACCUGCGGUACCUGCGGAAGGAUCAUUAUUGAAUAAAUCUGACAUGGUUGUAGCUGGCUCUUAGGAGCAUGUGCACACCUGUCACCUUUAUCUUUCCACCUGUGAACCCUUUGUAGUCCCAGGAUAACCUCUCGCGCACUCUGGUGUUGCGGAUGCGAAGGUUGUUGUGCCUCUGGCCAGCUCCCAUCGAAUUUCCUGGGUCUAUGUUUCUUAUACACCCCUGUAUGUUA
Molecule: unclassified non-coding RNA, 240 nt
Filed under: soil metagenome
Description: partial contains 5.8S ribosomal RNA, internal transcribed spacer 2, and large subunit ribosomal RNA
Source: RNAcentral